RNAcentral lists this ribosomal RNA (391 nucleotides) under uncultured eukaryote. RNAcentral's name for it is "partial 18S ribosomal RNA". It matches the Rfam family "Eukaryotic small subunit ribosomal RNA", at positions 592 to 976 of the family's 1831-position model. The record is from RNAcentral.
CAAUAGCGUAUAUUAUUGAUGUUGCAGUUGAAACGUUCGUAGUCGAACUUUAUGUGCUUGGAUACUAUAACAUCUUUGAUGUGAUAGUGUUUUCAGCACAGAUCAUGUAAACCAACACCAUAUGUUAAAAAAGUUGUUUGAUUUGCAUCUUACUUUGAGUGAAUCGGCGUGUUCCACGCAAGCAUGUGCCUUGAACGAUUUACCAUAGCAUAAAUAGAGUAUGGAAGUAUUUGUUUGCUUGUUCACGGAUAUAUAAAUACUUCCAUACUCUAUUUUUCUGAUACUGACAAGAACGGUUGAGGGCAUUCGUAUUCAACUGCUAGAGGUGAAAUUCUUUGAUUAAUUGAGGACGAACUAUUGCGGAAGCAUCUGCUAUGGACGUUUCUUUUGA